AUCUUUCUCGUCCCUUUUUUACUUCUGCCUUGAAAGAGACAGUAAGCCUGGAUCAUUCAAAUAUGGACGGUUUGGUGGAAUGUUUUAAUCAGACUUUAAAACAGAUGCUGAAGAGGUUUGUCAACCAGAAACAGAAGCAUUGGGCUAAACUCCUCCGCUACCUGAUGUUUGCAGUGAGAGAGAAAGGAUUGAUGCUGUGAAUCUCCCUCGAUCCGAAAGGUGCUGUUUAAGAGGAAGAGUGAGCACCCAGGAGCUGUCGCUUCAGAGCCAGCAAUCAACCCUGAGCACUUCCGUGCACAGCACAACACACACAUGCACCAUGAUCCCCCGGAGUUGAGCAUGCACAAUUUCAUGCACAGAGGAUGCUGGACGGACAAAGUACUUUGGAUUAUUAUUAUUUCGGGUUUGCAAGCCCCUCAUGUACCCCCCAAAUACCAUUGCUGGUAGAGGGGCAGAUUAUUUUGUUUAUUAAAAUAAAACACAGAUCAUUU
Molecule: long non-coding RNA, 491 nt
Organism: Polyodon spathula (Mississippi paddlefish)
Lineage: Eukaryota; Metazoa; Chordata; Actinopteri; Acipenseriformes; Polyodontidae
Exons: 3
Source: RefSeq, a predicted model, not a curated record